This is a non-coding RNA of Stegodyphus mimosarum, 45 nucleotides long. NCBI's taxonomy places the organism in Eukaryota, Metazoa, Arthropoda, Arachnida, Araneae, Eresidae. The record is from Rfam.
CAUAAGGCCUUUACAAGGCCACUCACGGAAACAAAGAAAGAAAAU